GGCCCCUCCUCCUUCCAUCUCCAAGGGGCUUUGGGAAAGGUAUAAAAACGCACCACCAUCCUCUGCGUCAGGACCAGUUGAAGUGCAAUAUUGAAGCCUGUACUGUACGAUUCAGGAUCCAGACUCUAACCUCAAGGCAUGUUGACCAGGAAUUUUCUCAUCUUCUGCUCUCUGGCAGUUCUGCUAGUACAAGCUGACUUCGAUACUAAUAACGAUCACGCUGCCCAAGCCAUGUCCACAGAUAAGGACUCAACCUCGGAGGAAGCUCCAACUGAAAGCAUAAAUGCCAUAUCCGCGGAUCAGCCUAAUGCUCCUAAACCUAAUGGAGUCACUGGACCUGGUGUUGCAGCAAACAGUGUUGAGGACCAGGAGGAGGAUGAAAGCUCAGAUGAAGGUCUGAAAAAAAAUAAUGUUCCUCCUCCUCCUCCUCCUGCUCCACAACAAAACUCAGGAAAGUUAGUUGGGCCAGCAGGUGGGAACCGGAGAAAGGCCCCAGCCCCACAACAAAAGAGGAGAUCACGACCCUCCCGCCGUCAGCAGUGAAAUGCCAAAAAGACACAGAGGCAAACAUUUACUUUUAGUUAAUUGCAUAGAAGAAGAAACAUAUUGUAUCCUAUUACUGUAUAUGCCAUAACAUGAAAGUGUACAGAACCGUACUCGCAUGAUGAAGCUGCUUUGAUGUAUCUUGAGCAGCAGAACAGUCAGCAAGACAUGACAUAUUGUUUACUGUAAUGUCUGUGGAAAACACUCAGUGGUAUGUUCAAUACAAACUCAUGGGCAUUUCUCUGUGAAUAAAAAUGUAGGAUUAAAUUAACAAUGUAUUGUGAUGACAUAAAACCAGGCCAAAUUAUCAUAACUGACCUUGACCUUAAGAGCCACUGAAACGGCUCUAAAUUCACCAACCUGUUUCAAAAUAGCAAGGACCUCACUCCCAUGAAAAUACCUCCAUUUCUAAAUGAGCGCACACACCGCACUAAAUGUCGAUCUCCGUUCAUUCGGCGUGGUGUGUUUUAUGGACCACUUGCCUGUGGGCGUCUGACUGCUAACAUUUUCGCGUGGUUUGCACUCGGUUUGCAAAUUACAGCUGGCACUCUGUUCAGAGGUGCUAAGUACUCUCGGCUGGCAAACGCUAGAGAGACUUGCUAUUUUGAUCAUGAGCCAGUUGGUGGAAAUAUGGAGUUACGAACUAGCAAUACAAUAUUGUUAGCUAAAGUGAAAAGACUAGAUAUUCUUUACAGAAAACGGCUAAAGAAAUCCCAUAAUUUAUCUCAGUUGAUGAGGAUACCUUUGACUGUUGCUGCCUACCCAAAGACUGUUACACUGUCCUCAGUCAGCAUAUCUUUUAGUGCAUAAUCGUUCAAAACAACCCUGCUCUCGAACACAAAACCAGUGUUUCAAUCAAAAAUAUUUCUUUCUUUUUUCUAAUCAUCAUUUUUAUACCCACAGUAUUCAACACAUUAUGUAUGAAACAUGUUUGAUGAAUGUCAAUUUCAAAACAUGUUUAAGUGUGAACCUCUGUAUCUUACAUCAUAUCUUUCCAAAUAAACUUCUUUGAGCAAAGUGAUAUUUCUGACUGUUUUCCAUCCUUGAACCAUG
Molecule: long non-coding RNA, 1596 nt
Organism: Oncorhynchus tshawytscha (Chinook salmon)
Lineage: Eukaryota; Metazoa; Chordata; Actinopteri; Salmoniformes; Salmonidae
Source: Ensembl